This is a long non-coding RNA of Hypomesus transpacificus, 769 nucleotides long. RefSeq lists it as uncharacterized. Lineage: Eukaryota; Metazoa; Chordata; Actinopteri; Osmeriformes; Osmeridae. The transcript is spliced from 4 exons. The record is from RefSeq and is a predicted model, not a curated record.
AGAGAGAAGCUUGUCUCUGAAACAGUGAGUCUUCAGUGACAUGCAGACAGCUACCCCGACAGGAGCUUCUUAUUGAGAUCAGCCUGGUAGCCACAAGCUCAACAAGCCAAUCAUGACUGUGGCUCCACCCAUCAAAAUAUAAGGAGACACACACACACACUGACCCAUGAAGGCGAUGUAUGGGGAGACGGUGCUGCCCACACGUGAUGCCAUGGAGAUGAUUCCCAGGGCCAUGUUUCUCACCACGGUGGGGAAGAGCUCCGACAUGUACAGCAGUACUAUCCACUUUGGUGGGCCUCGUACCAUCAGGUAUGAGCUUGAUGAAGAGCAGCAGGGCUCCAGACAGCAGCAGGGUGAAGGGGAGGGUGAAGCGUCGGGGGGUGUAGCGGAUCAAGAACCAGACGCUGCCGUACGCCAGGAACUCUGUGGCCGCCGCAACCAAGCAGUUGAAGUAGGGGUCUCCGUCCAUAUUGGGCGUGUUCAGGGACAUCCCAUAAUAUGUCAUGGAGAUGAUGGUCCUGAGGUGGAGGACAGAGAAGUCGUGAUGUACGCAAGUAUGCACUAGCAUGUGGUCAACUGUGUAUAGUAUGUAGUAAUCAUGCAGUGUGUAGUGUGUAUUUAUCCUACUGUGAAGGAUAUAUUUUGCAGCAGUGUGGUGUAGUAUGUAGUGUGUAUUAUAGUGUGAAGCAUGCAGUAUGCGGUUUUCAUGUGUGUUGUGCACAGUGCAUGCUAUACUGUAUAGGGUAUAUUUUGCAACAGUGUGGUGUAG